AUGUUCUUCGUUUUUUCUCUUUGUUGGGAUUGCUGUGCAAAGCAGCAAUCCCAAGAUAUGUUCUUCGUUUUUUCUCUUUAUUAUUAUUCCGCCGUUUUUCGGUCGCUAUCUAGUCCUACACCGUUCGACGUAGAAACGUCAUUCAAACACCGUCGCGUUCAGCUCGAUGAGGAGAUGGGUGCUUCUACUUUUUUCAGCGAUAUCUUUCAUAAUUUCCGAAAUAUUCCAGGUUUUGUCGGAAUUUUUUCCCAUAGGAAUGAAUGGAGAGAACGUUAAAAUCCCCUUUCAACUUUGUCCUCUUUGAGCUUUAACUGUGUCAGCAUACUUUCAGCUAGAAACACCAUUCGACCUUUAAACGGGUCAGAAGGCAUUAAUCUCUAAGUCUUGUAUACAGCUUUUUGAUAUCUAUUACGGUUUUUUCUUCAAUCGCAGUUUAAGUUUUAUGGUUUUUUUAGGAAAUUUCUGAAUUUUACAUUGGUGUGUAUGGGAGAGGGCUAGAGUGCGUGAUGUCAUCGCUAGAGUGGGAGAAGCUGUUAAGUUUAGGGAAAAUUUUUCUCUCUAACUCGCCGUCACGGCCACAAUUUUGACUCUUCAUACACCAUUUUCUCAAAAGUAGUAGAGAUUUUUGUCUUCUUUCAGGCAAUGCUGUUCUCAUUUUCAUAGGACCUAUGGUUUUUCCACAAGGUGGCCUAACAGACAGAGAGUGACUGCUCAAUCUCUCAUUCACUCCCAUUCUAAAGAUCUCUACAAUUUUUGGAGAGAAACACAAAUGAAGGCUGUUUCUAACUCGCCACCAAUCCUUCAUUUUUUGGAAUAUCUUCACAAAAAGUGGAUCGGUCUCUUUGUUGAAGCCUCCUGGCACUGUUAGUGAAAGAAUUAUAUUGAUAGCACUUAUAGUUUUUCUGUAAUCCCCCAGUUUGUAAGGUGAAGUUUUCUCAGUUUCUCCACUCAGCGUGUGUAAAGUGCUGUCACUCCCCCUCUCACUCUGGCCUUUGAUCACCAUAGCAACUACUCAACACAAAGCAGCUCAUUGCGCAAUAGCAGCAUAGCAGCUGUCUAUGUUUGGUAAUUAAGAAUGACUGGCUGCCAAAUGUCCACUGCUGUUACACUUGGUGACCACUGAGUACCACCCCCCCCACCCUCACCCUCACCCCCACUCUGGGCAUAGGUCACCAUAGCAACAGCUCAAAACAAAGCAAUAGCAGCAUAGCAUCUGUCUGUGGUUGGUAAUUAAGAAUGACUGGCUGUAUAAUGUCCACUGCUUUUACACAUGGGGAUAACUCAAUACCCCCCCCCCCCACCCUCACCCUCACCCCCACUCUGGGCAUAGGUGACCAUAGCAAAUACAUACAAUGCAUUAGCAGCAUAGCAUCUGUUUGUGGUUAGUAAUUAAGAAUGACUGGCUGCCAAAU
Molecule: long non-coding RNA, 1412 nt
Filed under: Mastacembelus armatus (zig-zag eel)
Lineage: Eukaryota; Metazoa; Chordata; Actinopteri; Synbranchiformes; Mastacembelidae
Description: lncRNA (ENSMAMG00000026061.1)
Source: RNAcentral